This 152-nucleotide small RNA is filed under the name Streptococcus thermophilus. Its description in RNAcentral is "rli38". It matches the Rfam family "Listeria sRNA rli38". Lineage: Bacteria; Bacillati; Bacillota; Bacilli; Lactobacillales; Streptococcaceae. The record is from RNAcentral.
GUUACUCUUAAAUAAGAGUCACAUCAUAAUUAGAUUGCGGAAGCCUAAUAAAUCAAGGUUUUCAAAUCGCUUAGGGCGAUUAAAAUAGUGGGGAAAUAGUUUCAUUCCCCACCAAAACCCCACCAAGAUUAAAUCUUGGUGGGGUUUGUUUA